This 253-nucleotide ribosomal RNA is filed under the name uncultured bacterium. RNAcentral's name for it is "partial 16S ribosomal RNA". It matches the Rfam family "Bacterial small subunit ribosomal RNA", at positions 524 to 776 of the family's 1533-position model. The record is from RNAcentral.
UACGGAGGAUCCAAGCGUUAUCCGGAUUUAUUGGGUUUAAAGGGUGCGUAGGCGGAUUGAUAAGUUAGAGGUGAAAUGUCCGAGCUCAACUCGGGAACUGCCUCUAAUACUGUUGAUCUAGAGAGUAGAUGCGGUAGGCGGAAUGUAUGGUGUAGCGGUGAAAUGCUUAGAGAUCAUACAGAACACCGAUUGCGAAGGCAGCUUACCAAUCCAUAUCUGACGUUGAGGCACGAAAGCGUGGGGAGCAAACAGG